Molecule: ribosomal RNA, 253 nt
Filed under: uncultured bacterium
Lineage: Bacteria
Description: partial 16S ribosomal RNA
Rfam family: Bacterial small subunit ribosomal RNA
Source: RNAcentral
UACGAAGGGGGCUAGCGUUGCUCGGAAUCACUGGGCGUAAAGCGCACGUAGGCGGAUCUUUAAGUCAGGGGUGAAAUCCCGGAGCUCAACUCCGGAACUGCCUUUGAUACUGGAGAUCUUGAGUCCGGGAGAGGUGAGUGGAACUGCGAGUGUAGAGGUGAAAUUCGUAGAUAUUCGCAAGAACACCAGUGGCGAAGGCGGCUCACUGGCCCGGUACUGACGCUGAGGUGCGAAAGCGUGGGGAGCAAACAGG